GAUGAACGCUAGCGGCAGGCCUAACACAUGCAGGUCGAGGGGCAGCACAGAAACAGCAAUGUUUUGGUGGCGACCGGCGGACGGGUGCGUAACGCGUAUGCAACCUACCUUUAACAGGGGGAUAACGGAGAGAAAUUUCCACUAAUACCCCAUAACAUCGAUCAAGGCAUCUUGAUUGUUUGAAAACUCCGGUGGUUAAAGAUGGGCAUGCGCUGUAUUAGGUAGUUGGUGAGGUAAUGGCUCACCAAGCCUACGAUACAUAGGGGGACUGAGAGGUUAGCCCCCCACACUGGUACUGAGACACGGACCAGACUCCUACGGGAGGCAGCAGUGAGGAAUAUUGGUCAAUGGGGGCAACCCUGAACCAGCCAUGCCGCGUGCAGGAAGACGGCUCUAUGAGUUGUAAACUGCUUUUAAACAGGGAUAAAGCACAGUAUGUAUACUGUGUUGAAGGUACUGUAAGAAUAAGGAUCGGCUAACUCCGUGCCAGCCGCCGCAGUAA
This 502-nucleotide ribosomal RNA is filed under the name uncultured bacterium. RNAcentral describes it as "partial 16S ribosomal RNA". It matches the Rfam family "Bacterial small subunit ribosomal RNA", at positions 28 to 523 of the family's 1533-position model. The record is from RNAcentral.